This 492-nucleotide ribosomal RNA is filed under the name uncultured bacterium. RNAcentral describes it as "partial 16S ribosomal RNA". It matches the Rfam family "Bacterial small subunit ribosomal RNA", at positions 29 to 507 of the family's 1533-position model. The record is from RNAcentral.
AGUGAACGCUGGCGGUAGGCCUAACACAUGCAAGUCGAACGGCAGCACAGUAAGAGCUUGCUCUUACGGGUGGCGAGUGGCGGACGGGUGAGGAAUACAUCGGAAUCUACUUUUUCGUGGGGGAUAACGUAGGGAAACUUACGCUAAUACCGCAUACGACCUACGGGUGAAAGCAGGGGAUCUUCGGACCUUGCGCGAUUGAAUGAGCCGAUGUCGGAUUAGCUAGUUGGCGGGGUAAAGGCCCACCAAGGCGACGAUCCGUAGCUGGUCUGAGAGGAUGAUCAGCGACACUGGAACUGAGACACGGUCCAGACUCCUACGGGAGGCAGCAGUGGGGAAUAUUGGACAAUGGGCACAAGCCUGAUCCAGCCAUACCGCGUGGGUGAAGAAGGCCUUCGGGUUGUAAAGCCCUUUUGUUGGGAAAGAAAAGCAGCAGGUUAAUACCCCGCUGUUCUGACGGUACCCAAAGAAUAAGCACCGGCUAACUUCGUG